GACGAACGCUGGCGGCGUGCUUAACACAUGCAAGUCGAACGCUGAAGCCUAGCUUGCUGGGUGGAUGAGUGGCGAACGGGUGAGUAACACGUGAGUAACCUGCCCCCUUCUUUGGGAUAACGCCCGGAAACGGGUGCUAAUACUGGAUAUUCACUGAUCUUCGCAUGGGGGUUGGUGGAAAGGUUUGUUCUGGUGGGGGAUGGGCUCGCGGCCUAUCAGCUUGUUGGUGGGGUGAUGGCCUACCAAGGCUUUGACGGGUAGCCGGCCUGAGAGGGUGACCGGUCACAUUGGGACUGAGAUACGGCCCAGACUCCUACGGGAGGCAGCAGUGGGGAAUAUUGCACAAUGGGCGCAAGCCUGAUGCAGCGACGCCGCGUGAGGGAUGGAGGCCUUCGGGUUGUAAACCUCUUUCGCUCAUGGUCAAGCCGCAACAGUGGUUGUGGUGAGGGUAGUGGGUAAAGAAGCGCCGGCUAACUACGUGCCAGCAGCCGCGGUAAUACGUAGGGCGCGAGCGUUGUCCGGAAUUAUUGGGCGUAAAGGGCUUGUAGGCGGUUGGUCGCGUCUGCCGUGAAAUCCUCUGGCUUAACUGGGGGGCGUGCGGUGGGUACGGGCUGACUUUGAGUGCGGGAGGGGAGACUGGAACUCCUGGUGUAGCGGUGGAAUGCGCAGAUAUCAGGAAGAACACCCGUGGCUAAGGCGGGUCUCUGGGCCGCUACUGGCGCUGAGGAGCGAAAGCGUGGGGAGCAACAAG
Molecule: ribosomal RNA, 751 nt
Filed under: uncultured Actinomyces sp.
Lineage: Bacteria; Bacillati; Actinomycetota; Actinomycetes; Actinomycetales; Actinomycetaceae
Description: bacterial SSU rRNA
Rfam family: Bacterial small subunit ribosomal RNA
Source: RNAcentral